UACGGGGGGGGCAAGCGUUGUUCGGAAUUACUGGGCGUAAAGGGCUCGUAGGUGGCCAACUAAGUCAGACGUGAAAUCCCUCGGCUUAACCGGGGAACUGCGUCUGAUACUGGAUGGCUAGAGAUUGGGAGAGGGAUGCGGAAUUCCAGGUGUAGCGGUGAAAUGCGUAGAUAUCUGGAGGAACACCGGUGGCGAAGGCGGCGUUCUGGACUGUAACUGACACUGAGAAACGAAAGCCAGGGUAGCAAACGGG
This 253-nucleotide ribosomal RNA is filed under the name uncultured bacterium. RNAcentral describes it as "partial 16S ribosomal RNA". It matches the Rfam family "Bacterial small subunit ribosomal RNA", at positions 524 to 776 of the family's 1533-position model. The record is from RNAcentral.